GGGGGUGAAAGGCUUCGACCUAGAUAAGCACGACAAAGGUGGCAUGUAGAGGUUGUCAGGGGGCCUCUUAAAAAACCUGGCAAAUAUCAAAUGCUGAAACUCUAAACGUUCCGGCAUCAGUGGAUCAGCUCCUUGCAACCAUGCAAGUGGUUAAGGGCGUUGCUCCAUUGGCCUGUGCUGCUCUCUAGAUAGAGCAGUCCGUCUUGCGGUCAAGCCUGCGUGGCUGUAAAGACGACGCUAGCAGGAUAGUCUGACGCCCGUUGCCUUUAGGGUGCCGGACGAGGUUUUAAAAGGCUGCCCGUAGGAAAUUCCGUCUGCUGAAGUUCCGCCGGGGAGAUGAAUGAGCAGAAUAAACAUGUAGAGGCUUUUGAUCUGAUAUUUGGGCACGCGGGUUCGAAUCCCGCCACCUCCACCA
RNAcentral lists this transfer-messenger RNA (415 nucleotides) under Candidatus Omnitrophota bacterium. It matches the Rfam family "transfer-messenger RNA". From Rfam's summary of the family: Bacterial tmRNA, also known as 10Sa RNA or SsrA, is named for its dual tRNA and mRNA-like properties. Lineage: Bacteria; Pseudomonadati; Candidatus Omnitrophota. The record is from RNAcentral.